This 465-nucleotide ribosomal RNA is filed under the name uncultured bacterium. Its description in RNAcentral is "partial 16S ribosomal RNA". It matches the Rfam family "Bacterial small subunit ribosomal RNA", at positions 338 to 795 of the family's 1533-position model. The record is from RNAcentral.
CCUACGGGAGGCAGCAGUGGGGAAUCUUGCGCAAUGGGCGCAAGCCUGACGCAGCGACGCCGCGUGAGGGAUGAAGGUCUUCGGAUCGUAAACCUCUGUCAGCAGGGAAGAACGGUCACUGUGCUAAUCAGCAGUGCAUUGACGGUACCUGCAAAGGAAGCACCGGCUAACUCCGUGCCAGCAGCCGCGGUAAUACGGAGGGUGCGAGCGUUAAUCGGAAUUACUGGGCGUAAAGCGCUCGUAGGCGGUAUGUCAAGUCAAGGGUGAAAUCCCCGCGCUCACCGUGGGAACUGCCUUUGAAACUGGCAAACUGGAGUGUGUGAGAGGAUAGUGGAAUUCCAGGUGUAGGAGUGAAAUCCGUAGAUAUCUGGAGGAACAUCAGUGGCGAAGGCGACUAUCUGGCACAUAACUGACGCUGAGGAGCGAAAGCGUGGGUAGCAAACAGGAUUAGAUACCCUUGUAGUC